Phasianus colchicus (ring-necked pheasant) is the source of this 212-nucleotide non-coding RNA. The record is from RefSeq and is a predicted model, not a curated record. NCBI's taxonomy places the organism in Eukaryota, Metazoa, Chordata, Aves, Galliformes, Phasianidae.
GCCAGGGCUCUGACUGUGGACCUCUCCUUCCUCUCUGCAGCUCCACAGUGCAUCCCCUUCACGUGGCUGAUGCUGGCUGGCCUGCGCAGUGUGGUGGGCCAGGUGAGGAGCGGCCGGACCCUGCGCCUCGCUUGUGCUGUUGUGAAACAAUGGUCAGAAGGAGUCCGGGUUCACUUCUGCUCUGGAAAGCAAUGCCCCCGGCCUGCUGUGCA